UUUUUUUUUUUUUACCUCCAGAGCCAUAGACACAUCUCAGUUUAACCAUGAUAAUUAUUUUCAGUUUAUAAACGUUGUCUUUCUAAGCAAGAGAAGGGAGAGAAUGUUUUUUCCUUGGAGCUUCCUGCUUCUCCACAAUUUUACAGGUUGCUUUAGAAGUCUUGAGCCUUUGGUGCUUAGUCUAGCAAAGCAUAAUUUGAUGUUGCAGCAGAAACCCAUUUGCCUAUGAAUUUUUAAGGCCUCUCUCUCCUGACCCCCACCCAGCACCACUGUCUCAGAAUGAGUGACAGUUGAGUCUCAAAGCCUGACCACCAGGCAGAAGGAAGAAGAAACAGACCUCACUUGAGUUCUUUGCCAUAACUAGUUGCUGCUCCCAUACCUUGACUCUGUCUUUUUCAUUUUCUAUAUAUGCAGACAUAGCAAUUUAAUCUAACAUCUUCCUGCUGUCAUUUAACCCAGUAACCACUUGGCAACCUUGCAUGGUCAAUGGGAAGGUAAUUUCACCCUCUCCCUUCUCAAGAGAUCUCCCUUUCCUGGGGCCUUCCCGCCAAGGUGCUGAAAAUCAAAAUAAAUGAAGGUGGGGGGCAAGCUUGGCAGAAAUGGUUAUCUUGAUCAGUGAAUAUAUUUGAACUUUUGGUGUGUAGUGCAUGUGAAAGCCUUCUAAUAAAAUUUUUGUCUUUUCUUCCCUUCUUCUCCCUCAUUCCCCCCCCCCUUCUUCUUCUUAACUUUUCCCCCAUUCUUCCAUCUCUGGUGGAAACGCAAGGAGCUGAAUUGAGAUGGUCAUAUUCUACUCUCAGGCCCAAAGGAAGAAACUGAAUUUUGCUGGAUGGACUGACCCUUUCACUGCCAUAUUUACCAGAAAAGAAAAUGAUCUGUAUUUGUCUUCCAGAUAAACAACAGUAAUAAAAUGA
Candoia aspera is the source of this 911-nucleotide long non-coding RNA. RefSeq lists it as uncharacterized. Lineage: Eukaryota; Metazoa; Chordata; Lepidosauria; Squamata; Candoiidae. The transcript is spliced from 2 exons. The record is from RefSeq and is a predicted model, not a curated record.